CCCAACUCCUCAGGGCUCGCUGGGCUUCAGCACCGUGUGGCUGCUCCUCCCAGCCACUUCAAGCUGAGAACUCAGCCCUCGAGAUCCUGCCCUGAGCCCAGCGUCUGCUCUGCUUCUGGACUUCAUUCACCUGUCUACUUGGAGUGGUCACCUCAUGCUGUGAUUAGCUUCCUCUGCCCAGCUGUGGUCCUGUCUAGCCCGGAGUCAUGGCAAAGAUUGAACCCAGGCAUGCUCAGCUACAUUUUCAAGCCGGCUUGUUAAAUUCUGACAUAGGUCCGGUGCUUUGGACGGACUUCUAGAGUUUAGGCCAAUCCUCUAGCCUCUCUUCUCAUGGUCAACAGAGGGCAGAAGACGUUGAACUCACAGGUCACCAUUUCAAGGUCUCCACGGAGCCCAUGGAUUCCUGGGGAAUGUCGGAAAUAAAUGAUUCUGCCUGCAGAAAGUCAUCUAGGGCCAAGUCCAUCUGUUGCAGGUUUCUGUAAAUGGGAAGAAUCCCAAGUGCCACCUCCGGGUGCUGGGAUUAAAGGUGUGCGCCACACCCAGCUUUGUUCUUGAUGAUUUUACAGUGUGAGAAAAGAGAGUGGAGCCAGAGGCAGGAGGAUCAGGAGUCAAGGUCAUCCUUGGCUAUACAAUGAGUUCAUGUCCAGUUUGGACUACAUAAGACCCUAUCUCAGAAAAUCCAAUUCCCACUCCCCUCAAAAAGAAAAUAAGGGGAUCAUGAGGUUGUGGAAAGUGUAGAAAGCCCCAAUUCUGUGAGGUCCUGAGUAAAUGUAUAUUGUUGACAUGAGUAUGGCUGUGUCAAGGCCCCUAGUCUCUAACCCAGAGAGAAACUUCAAAACCUUCCCUGUAUUCCAUGUGAGGAUGUUGAUAGUCUGCAGAAAAUGUCCACCAUAGCUUUCUCCUCCCUGGAUGUCUAAGGGCUGAGGAUUGCUCCCCUGCAGAGACUGCUCCCGUGGAGGUUAGCUAAGCCCACCUCCUAGAUCCAGCUGUAUGCCAUAAACCCUGCCUCCUUGUUUAUCUGCAUAUAAUAGCUCUGCCUCCUUGUUCAGCGGUGUGCCUGAAAGUUAUCUUUCCAGAGAGCGUAAGUCAGCAACCUCUGCCCAGCACAGGGCAACUUGUCAAGUACCUCAAGAAACAGAAGCCUUCCUGCCCCUGGGCUGUGCUAGAAAGAGGCACCUGUUCAGUCUUUGGCUACUAUCAGAACUCUUGACUAAUACAUUGAUCUUUAAGACCAUGUGUUCAGACCUGGUGAGCCUCUAAAACAAGUUCCCUAGUCAUCUCAUUAGGGACUCCAUGUAUAAUGAGACUUCAAAUUUCUGUUCAAAAGGCUCAUUGCAACUUAAAAAGAACAUACUUCACACAUUCAUGGCCAAAAGAGGCCAAAGACUCUCUUUCGGAAUCCUGCUUGUUGGAUUCUGUGCCUACCUAUAAAGCAUAGAGCGUUACAUUUUUGUUUUGUUUUGAGACAGGGUUUCUCUGUCUAUCCCUGGCUGUCCUGG
Peromyscus maniculatus bairdii (prairie deer mouse) is the source of this 1499-nucleotide non-coding RNA. NCBI's taxonomy places the organism in Eukaryota, Metazoa, Chordata, Mammalia, Rodentia, Cricetidae. The record is from RefSeq and is a predicted model, not a curated record.